This is a long non-coding RNA of Alexandromys fortis (reed vole), 583 nucleotides long. RefSeq lists it as uncharacterized. Lineage: Eukaryota; Metazoa; Chordata; Mammalia; Rodentia; Cricetidae. The transcript is spliced from 3 exons. The record is from RefSeq and is a predicted model, not a curated record.
UUGCAGUCUGCCGUCAGGCUGAGGACAGGAUCGUCCCUUUGUCUGUGCCUUGGUAGAGGACCUUCAGCCUCUGCAGGAACACACUCCUCCAGUCCGACCUCUCGAUGAAGACAACAGAUGAAGAUACUAAUGUAAAUAUGAAGAGACGACAUGGCAGAGUACUACAGAAUAUUAAGGAUGUGUCUGGGAGUUUGAAUUGACUCGGGAGUUUUCCACACAGUGGAAGUCAUCAGGUGUGCUAAAAGUCUGCUCUCCGCGGCUGAGUGCAUCUCAGCUGCCACCACCACUGCCACUGCCACCAUUCCUCACUGAUAAGAAACCCAGCAGCGCUCCAGGAGUCCCCGGGCUUUCCACAUCGGACUGGGACCUCUGCCAUCCAGUCUCAGGGACUGAGCAGGCUGUGGAGACCCCUGCUGCGGGACUACCCAGCAAUGUCAGCCGAUGAAACAAGUCCCCUUUGUUGAUAUAUAGUGAGUCUAUCAGUUCUGUUCCUCUUCUAUUCCCCAUUCUGCAGCAGCACUUCACAAAAUGGUAAAACCUAAUCUUCCCAUCAGUAAAAACAACCUGAGCUGGGGAACCAGAG